GACGGAGGGGGCUAGCGUUGUUCGGAAUUACUGGGCGUAAAGAGUGCGUAGGCGGUUUAGUAAGUUGGAAGUGAAAGCCCGGGGCUUAACCUCGGAAUAGCUUUCAAAACUACUAAUCUAGAGUGUAGUAGGGGAUGAUGGAAUUCCUAGUGUAGAGGUGAAAUUCUUAGAUAUUAGGAGGAACACCGGUGGCGAAGGCGGUCAUCUGGGCUACAACUGACACUGAUGCACGAAAGCGUGGGGAGCAAACAGG
RNAcentral lists this ribosomal RNA (253 nucleotides) under uncultured bacterium. Its description in RNAcentral is "partial 16S ribosomal RNA". It matches the Rfam family "Bacterial small subunit ribosomal RNA", at positions 524 to 776 of the family's 1533-position model. The record is from RNAcentral.